This 13122-nucleotide long non-coding RNA is filed under the name Gallus gallus (chicken). The record is from RNAcentral. Lineage: Eukaryota; Metazoa; Chordata; Aves; Galliformes; Phasianidae.
GGGGGACGUGAGGCCCGUGAGGUCCGUGCGGCGGUGGCGGGCGCGCGGCACGAGGAGCGUGUGGCGUGGCACGGCACGGCACGGCGGGCGGGGCCGGCCGGCUGGAAUGGGCCUGGCUGCGGGAGUGAAUAGCAGCGGGAGUGAAUGGCAGCGGGGAUGGCGGUUUCCCAUCAGUGGUGUGUCGGGAGGGCGGCAGGCAGCGCCGCUCUGCGGGGCUCCGUGCUGAAGAGACGUUUGUGUGGGGGCAGGCGCUGGCCUACGGCGCUGUUCCCCGCGGGCUGCCUUCCCGCGCUUUGCCGGGGCCGGCGGUAACCGCUGUGGUGGUUAUUGCAGUCAGCAGCUUUCCUGCCCGACCCAUUACCGGUGGUUCGCGUGCUGCCAGGCUGCGGUACCGCAGGGGUGUAUUUGCACGAGGUAAAAAAGGAGUAGCAUCCUUCCCAAGCCCUGAGCCGUGAGAAGCUCCCUGCCCAGAACUGAACGGACAGCUGCAGUGCAGGUACGUUCAGUAAAACUUAUCACCCAGCUGCUAUCCAGAUUGGAAGGUCAGUACUAGAAAGGCUAAAUUUGAACUUAAAAGGUUAAGGUACAUUAUUGGCUUCGUUGCUCUACACCCUGGCCUUGCACAGACACGGUACGUCUGAAAUACAAAGGCCAAAUAUGACGCUUUCAUGUCUGAGAACUGAAUGGAGAUGAGACAUGCCAUGUGAGGCAAAAACGUGGGUUUAAUAAGAGAAUUUUGUCUCAAAACACAGUCAGUACUGACAUCUCCAGAAAUACAUAUGAAUUAACUUGUUAUUUUUCUCUAAAGGAAAGGUAAUCUUUACCCUCAUCUGAAAAUAGAUCUAUUUGAGAUAUCUUUCUUUAAAGUAUGCUCUUUCAUCUCCAACUCUACUGAAUUUGGAUGCCAGCUCUAAGUUUCUGUGUAACACCACUUAAUUUGCGUCAGCUCAGCAUUAAUUGUGAAAUAAACUUACUCACUGUGCUGAGCACAGAGAAUUCCAUGGGUUUCUGCAUGAACACGCUGUCAUAGUUUGAGAUGUAGGCAGAACAAGCAAAGGAUCAAGCUCUCCCCAUCUUUCCAAGACAGGCCUGGCUGGUUCACUUCAUUCCCAUGUGGUAAACCAUUCUUGCAGCUGCUAUUUAAUUUGCAUCACACCUUCUAUUGCCAGGCUUUCUGCAUCCUUAAAAGACCCCUUGUAUUUGAAUGCAAGACAGGCUUCUUCUAUACUUAGAAGAAGUGAGAAGGGUCUGUUCUCCAUGGAAUUUGGAAUGGAAAGAGUUGGGAUUAGAAAACUGGACUGAAGCUGGCAGAAGUUGAUACUUUAUACUUUUUUGUUGUCGUUACUAUUUAGUUCUGCAGGGGGAAUAGGAACAGGACACCCAGGAUUCAAAGUCUGUAAUCCAGAGGCUAAUUUACUGGAUUUGGUUGACUAACAGUGUUCACAACCCUAAAUAAAAAGGCAAAUGUUUUAUGUAGUGCACAGGGAGAAUUGUGCCAUGGCAGAAGUCUUGCAAGGUUGCCAGGCACUCUGAAGAGUAAUGGCAAAAGAUAAACUAUAAUCAAUAUUUAGUGCUACCAAUAAUUAAAUUUAUAGCUCUGAAUUUUGGAGAAAGGAGAAGCAAACUAUUUCAGAAAUAAACCAAGGAGUCAAGUAUCAGUGAUUCAUUUAAUAGCCUAGUGGUUAACAACCCCCAUGGGCUUUAAAAGAUCCAAAUUCAGCUUCCUUCUCUGCUUGUGAAAACUUUAAGCAUUCCACCCUCACACUGAGACUCUAGUUGUUAUGCAUGUUCCUGCCUUCUACCCUCUAGUCUUAUAAAUAUUAUUCUUACUACUUGUUAUGCUGUACCUGAUGGAAAAGCUCAGCAAUAGGAAAUGAGAAUAGAGUACUCAUCCAUCCUUUCCAAAUCCCAGACAAAUGUGCUGUCUUCCCUCGUGCAAACUGUUUUCAGAGGCAGGACAUGUGGAUGUGAAUUCAGUAGGGGUCAGUCCAGGCCACCCCUUCUGACUGUGUAUCACGUUAAAAACUGUGGUACCCACUGAUGCCUUAGUGCUUCCAGUAUGAUGUGACAGCAGAACGAGGCUGUUACAUGAGUUUGUACUUUAGCGUCUAAAUCCUGUGUAAUUUGUGUUAGAUUCUUGUAUCCUUUUGCAGAUCUGUGCAAUGCAGAUCUGAAUUGACAGAGCAAGCCCAAGCAGUUCUGUGAAAAAUCAAGUUCCUGAUGUUUUAGGAGUCUCUUGUUGGCCUAUAAGAGGAAGAUGCAAUAAGAACUCACCUACAGUGUAUCUUUGUUACAAUGGCUUUCAUUUGCUUCUCACAUCUUAUUCAGUAUUGUUACAUUCAGUCAACUUUCAAUGUGUUUGCUGCCUUAUCCAGAAAUGUGAGCACUUCUAGAGAAUGCUUCAUGUAGAGCUAGAAGUUAUGGAUUUGUGCAGAUGCUUUAGCAUUGCCAUCAUGGCUUUACCUUGUAUUGCCUGUUGACAGUUUCAUAACAAAGGGCUUAAUUAUGUAAUUUCCUGAGGUGGAUAAACAGCUCUACUGCAGGUCUCAGUAAAAGCAGCAAGAGCAACAUGGGGAAGAGAUAAUCUAGGACUCUUUAAACGUGACUUCCAGCAGGUUCACUGUCAGGCCUUGGGUGAGGUUGCUUUUCUCCUCCUCCUUGCUGUUUUCUGAGGGAAGUCUGUUUGCUCACCAGCUAGCAGCUCACUGCUUACUGAAUGCCAGGGAACACCCAAAAAAAAGCUUGCCAGUUCUGAUGUUGACUGCUUUGAAGAACUCAGAAAAAAGCUGGCUUCUGUCAGAGCGUUGCACAAAGUGGGCCAAGUUCCCAGGCGUGCAGGAGAGGAAUUGGUCGGGCUGUCUCAACUUCAGAAAAAUGAAGUUAGACAAUCAGAGCAUGGAAGGAUCCUUGGGCCCUGCAGUCAGAAGGGUUCCACUGCAAUGGGAAAUUAGUAGUCAGACAACGAACCUGCAGGAAAAAAAGUUAAUGUAUUCUCAAUUAAGCAACUAUUGGUCUUGUCAUCAGGUUGAUGAGCAUCAGGACUAUUCGGAGAACGCGCAGAAAUCCUCUUACAUAGACAUAGGACAGGCCCAAGCUGUUUCUCUGACCACAAUAAAAUAUGCGUCACCAUCCUUCUCCCACAUUCACAGAGCUAACCACAAGGCAAAAACUACUUUGGAAAUGCUUCUGUCAGUUCUUCCUCUCCAAGUAACCACCGAAGCUCAGAUAAGCUACAUCUUGGAAAACUUCACCUUGUGUUCACUCAUCUUUACAGGGAAGUUUCUAUAGGGCAGGAAGAAUGUCGUAUCUGCCUACAUAGAUUUAUGGCGUUCCAUCAACAUAAUGCUGCAAUGAUGAUGAACUGGAACAGCUCAAGGAGAACUUACUGGACAGGUGGCUUGGUUUCAGUAGUUAACUUCUAAGUAUUUCAAAACUUUGGCAGGUUUCAGUGACGCUGUUUGUACCAUAUGUUAUUUACGCGGCUUUAUGGCCAAGAAUGAGAGCAACAGCCUUGUAAAGAAAUGAGAUCCCUCUGACUUCAGUCAGGGGCAGAUGCACAUCCACUAUCAUCAUAGGAUUCAAAUGAUGAGCUAUUUUUAUAGCACUUCAGAAUGCUUUGACUCCUGAAUUGUGUAUUUCCACCCCUAAAUGCUCACACUUUUUUUUGUAUUUGACCUUCUUUUCUCUCUCCCCUUGCUGUAAAGGGAAGGAGACAAGGCUCAAAUUCAUUUUGUUGGUGAAAACUUUAUUCCAAGAUGAUUUAGCUCUCUUGGAAGGAGGCAGUGUGUCAGUUCUCUCAACAAAUGUUUUCUGUCCAAGAUGCAGUGCAGGGAAUGGGAUGGGUAUUCAUGAACUUCCACCCGUUUUCAAUCCAGGGCUCUCAGCAAGCAGCCUUGCUCUACAUGGCUGGAGAAGGCAGGAGAGACCAGUGGGGCUGCUGGAAGGCUGAGGCCCCUUGCUAGGCUGGAGGUGGGCAGAGAUUGCUGCUGUGAGGUUAUACACAGUGUGGCUUUCGACAGUAUUUGUCGCUAGAGCUAUAUAGCUCCAGGAAAAUUACUAUACAGUGCUGACCUCUAAUAGGAAGUGGGGGCAGGCCCACUAAUGCUGGGAUUAUCUUUAAUAAUCAGGGAAUAAAUAUCAGGUCUACUCUUCAGGCAUUUUAGAGAGCAUCCUCCCAGAUUGCUCAGGGACACGAGAGAGAUCGCAGCCUCUUCAUCUUCACCAGGGUUUGCCCCUGCUCCCCAGCACACACACAUUCUCACUGUGCCAGAUAACAUGAUUACUUCCCACUGGGAGAAGUGUUGCAAACUUAUCUCAAAGUGGAAAUUUACAUGCAGGUAUCUUUUUUUCCUCACGCUAUGAAAGAACAUAGAAAUAGUUGUUAUUCUCUAGAUGGGGUGGUAACAAGUCACAACAAGCCAAAGCUACAAACAUGUUCAUCGCUGACAGAGGAUGGUUGGAAAAAGUUGUGCAGCACACCACGCUUACCACCACGCUGCUCGGCUGCGGUUUGUGCCAGCCACUGUUGCCUCCAAACUUUGCCACGUGGCUGCAGUGGGCACUGGGUGCUUUGGAAAGUUGGCCAUGAGCCCGUGGGGGUGGAGGGCGCUGAGAGAAGGACAGAGACAGGUGGCAAGACUGCACAAGGAGCACUAAAUGCAGGAAAGCAAUACUAGUCCUUGUCUUUGGGCUGCAUGUGGGAUAGCACGCUCUGCUCCUGCCACCUUAGCAAUUAAUCCUAGUCAUAGGAGAGCCCAGGUUGGAAAGAACCUUGGAAAAUCAUCAAGUCCAACAUUCUGUGAGAAAAGGGAGCCCAAAUGAGAUUAUCUAGCACCCUGACCAACUGCAUCUCAAAAACCUCAUGAUGGGGAUUCUACCAUAUCACUGGGGUGGUCAUUCCAGCGAUGGGUUGUUCUCAGUGUAAAGAAUGUCUUUUAUUUCAAGACAGUAGUUCUUUAUUCCUAGAUAGAUAGGGCAAGACAGAUCCAUUAUUUUUGCUUGUAUAGUUUAGUGCGUGCUUUGCCUUUUCCUGCCACCUAACUGAUUUUACAUGUACCACAACAGCCUGCAGAAGCAUAGUACGAAGACAGUUCCUUGUAGCUUCCAGGCAGGAUUCACUAUGCAGACAAUAACUAGUGAAGCCAUUCACUCCUUGGUUAAACGUGGAAACUAAUUUCGAAGCUAGGCGAACAGAAGCAAGUCCUUCGCCUUCAUUUAGCCACUCUGAAGACCAUUAGAUAAAGGACAGGAGGGUUAUCUAGAAGAGUUUCCACAGAAUCAGUCUGAACAGGAAGACAGGAUGGAGAAUACAAGAGAAAUGGGGCAGUUUCAGAAUAUUUCACUAUGUUUUGGAGAACUUAGCUCAAACUAAGAAUUAGCACUAGUCAUGGCAGCUUGGUGGCUAAUGGUAAAGCAUGCUGCCAAACACACCCACUGCACCACCUUUGGCAAAGUAUGGCUGCACGUCACAUUGCUGCAGCAGUGUUGGUUCAGCCUUAACACAACACACUUGCUUUCACUGCCCCAAGAGCUGCUCUGCCUUCUGGCUUCCUGGCAUCUUGACUUGCUCUUCCAGCACACAGCAUGGAGCAUGGGGGAGAGAGGACAAGCUGGGGGGUUUCCGAGUACCUGUGUGGCAAACAGGCGAUCUCCUUGACUCUGUCCACUUGCAGGAAGGUGAUUCACAGAGUCCUGACCAUUCACUUUUAGCAGUCAGUGUAGGGGGAAAGCUGAAUCACUGCUAACUUUGGAUGCUGACUGACCCUUUUCCUGCUUUGUUAUGGCUAUUGAUCCUACACUUGAGGUCAGCUGAGAAAGGCUACGUAAUCUGAUCUCUAGUGUCUAUAUUUGUGUCAUCACAGCUGGAGAGGAGAAUUCACAAGUGACUGACAGGUAUCUGAGUUCAGCUGAGGGGGCACACUUGCAGUUAACGCCUCUGGAAAGAAUGACACAUCAAGAAAUGGUCCAGACAUCCAGGUUAAGCCCUUCAUUUGACCCUCAGCAAAUACUUCAACUCCUAUCUGUAAAACAAAGCUGCAGGUACUUUUCUGCUCUGUCAUGCUCUUGAAGCCUGGCUUCUAAAGAAGUGCAUGGAAAGCCUCACUGGAAGCACAGCAGAGUAAUUUCAACAUGCAGUGCAGCUGUGCACUGUGAAAAGAGCUUGCCUUCAGGCACAGCAGCACCAAGAACCAGCAGUACAGGUUCACUCUCCCAGAGUGAACUCUCAGAUGUUUCCAAAGGAAUUUCUAGCCUAGAGGAGCCCAAGGUGUGGGAUCAGAGAUGUCCCUUUACUUCAGCUGUCCUCCUAGAUACAGAAUCUAAUGAUGAAGUGUGUGACUAUUCUGUGCCAUGCACUCCAUGGACUUUGAGAACUGUCACUCUAGUUUAAUUGGUGGCCUGCUUUCACAACACGAGGGGCAGUUCCUUUCCUGGAAGACAGAUCUCUGUUCUCUGCAGCAGAACUUCUAUUUCAUGAUGUCUCUGCGAUUUUCAGUGCCACGCUGACAGCAAGUAAGGUAACUUAACCCUUUAGAUAAGUGCUUUGGAUGCAGCUUUAUGUUCUCUUCUAGAAAUGGUGGGAAAAUCAGGGCUAUCUUUAAAACUGUAACUGCACUGCUGUGAUAAUCUGGAUAGAGAAACCCUACUUCUCUUUUGUAAAUCUAACCUAUACCUCAGGUAUGUUUUGUUUCUUCUAACCUUUCAUUAAUUCUUAGGCUAACAGUCCACAGUAGCCUCUAUAGCCAAAAGGAUUUGCUGUGUCUCUGUUCCCUGUUAGUUCUCCACACGACCCAGAGUUUGGAUUGCCUGCAUGAUGAAUUCUCCAAAAUUGGUCACAGCGUUUGCCAUUUCGGUCCUUGGUUUGCUCACCCCAAAUCACAGAAGGCCAAAAAUCACAGAUUUUUUUUUUUUCUCCAUAUUAAGGAAGAAAAUCAAAUGGUUUCCAUGCCUCUCAAAACCUGCAUCUAAUACUGCUGUAAGACUAAUUAUUAGCACAAUAUUUGGAAAACAAGAAUAGCUCUGAUUACAUUUCCAGCAAUAACACAAAAGCUGUAUUUGGUGGGGGCUUAAAGAGAUGGCAUGUGUUUUCUGGAAUGGUAAAGAGGCAAGGAGAUCCUGCUGGAAUAAUCCUGUUUGCACUACUAUCACGUUAUCAUUAUUAACUGUUUGUUGGUACAUCAAAGCUGUGGCUUUACAAAUAACCCUGACUGCCUACGUACCUGCAGCCCUACACACUUUGCCUUGCUUUACAUCAGUUCUGAAUAACGACUUGAGUUCUUCCAUAAAUAGAUGCAGCUCUACCAAGUCAGGGAGAAUUCUAAUUGCUUAUAUUUAGCUUUGUAAAGCUUGAGGACGGGUACUGCAUAUGUUAAAACAUUGGACUGGUUUUCUACAUUUGCUGUUGCUCUUCUUAAAUGCAAGUUAGCUGUAGAGUUGCUCGAUUUUAUGCUGGGAUGAGGAAGGGUUCUCCUUGAAUCCAUGCCAACCAGAGAUGCUGGAGAAAAUACACCCAAAGCUUUCCCUAUUCUGCCUCCUGAUUGUUCAGGCCCUGCAAGGCAGCAGUUAGGGAGCACUAGGCUUCACACCAUUUAUUUCUGCACUGUCCUAACCCUGAGUUGGCUCAGAAGCUGCCACAUUGUUCAGGCUGCAUUUGAUAGGACUCAAACAGCUCUCGGUUCUGGAAAACUUCCACUCCCACUGCUUGGCUCCAUACCUUGCUCAGGUUUCUAUAUCAAGAAGCUUAGCUAGUUCCACUUCAUAGUCUUGAUUUAUUUAUAUCCUUUUAAUACUGAGCGAUAAAUAGUACUGAACACUGACGCCUCCCAAAAAUGUGCUCCUGGGCACCUGUCAAACAAAUGAGUUGCAUGAAGGAAAAAAUAAGCAGUUCAUAUUCACUUAACUCCUUGACAGCUGAGGGCAAACAUCUUGAAUUUAGUGGGAAAUGAUAGAAAGUCUGUAGCAAUAUGAUGGAAGUGGAAGGAAGGCACUAAAUGCUGCAUAUCCCCCAGCAUUAGGCAGGCUUACCACUGCAUUUUUGUUCCUGGAUAUUGCUUCAGUCUUACACAUUAGGGAUUGUUCUAUGCCCCAGCUGUGCUUCAGUCCAGAUGCAAUGAAACACUCAUUCUCAACUGGAAAGAAGGCGUGAUAGGGUAGAUGUAGGAAAAUACAAACACAUGGCAUUUCCUAUAGGACAUCAAGCUGCUGAGUGACACCUACAUUAAGGUGGUUAUCAUCCUAACCUACCUGACAGCUGUACAUUUUCAUGGAGGCAUAUCAACAGCAGUAUUUAGGAUUUCUCCAAGGUCAGACUGCAGUUUAACAGGGCAUGCAGCAAGGUGGAAUCAGUGAGUGCACAGAAAAGACAGACAACCACUUUGCUACACACACACACGCUCAAGCUGCAAGAUCACUGGGCCCAUUUCUCGUGGCUACAGUUCAUCCUUUUUGAAGGGCAUAACACAAAUCCUGUGCCAUCCCGUGCAACACUAACAACAUGAACAGAACUUCACUUUUAUACGCAAGUGAAAAUGUCCAAUGAAAUGAGAGAUCACUCGACAUCAUUUUAAAACUCUUGUAUGUGUGUAUAUACAUACAUAUAUACACACACUCACAGUGAAUAUAUAUUAGUAAAUACAUAUAAACAUUUACACAGUUAGAACCACCCCAGUAUAUACACACGCAGUAUACCCCUUCACUCACCAAGCGAGUACAUUGUGUUGCACUGACAGAAUCCACUGCUCAGUCACCUUUUAAAUUAUAAGUUAUGUAGAAUUUGUUCAGAGAGGGGCCAAUCAUGGUAAGCACAGAUCUACAUAGAACUCAAGCUCUAUUAAUGAUACUUCAGUAAGAAGGAUCCACCCAGUUUCCUUCAUUUAUCAACUUCACUUUCAGAAAAAUAAAUACUUUCUAGCGAUAUGCUACAGCCCUGUUAAGCCAAGCAGGAUUUUUUUUUCCUUUAUGUAUAAAGUAUUUCACAUCAUCUACACCAUGCAGUAUAAAAUACAAAAUCAUGAUUGCAAGUGAUUGUAUUUUGAUUUGGCCCCAUAACUGCUUUUGUUAGAAAGAAAAAGAACAACUAAUUCAUAUAAACCUUAAAAAACAAGCAGACAGUUCGUUUCCAAAGGAAAACAGCUAUCAGUAAUAAUCAGUUAUCUGCAAUUUUUACAUUACACAUUGCAAAUGUAAGCAGUAAGAACAGCAAACUCAACCAAGAGCAAAAAUUACGUACUCGUCCAAACUAAGACACACAACUCAGAACACCUCACGUGCUUUGUAAAGAUUUGUUUGAAGCACCUACCUGAUGUUCUUGUUAAAAUAUCAAAAAGUAGAUUAGCUUGAAGAAGUCUACUGGAAAAAAACAUUAUCUUAAAAAGGCAUACUUCAAAGCCUUAUCUAAAAAGGAUUCUCAGAGCUGAAGUUCUGUAUCUCUCAGUGACAUUGCAUUGUUCAAAAAGCCCUGCAGAAUGUUACAGUUCUAAGCACUGAUACUGAUCAGCUGUCAAGAGAAAACAGAGCUUGUUUGUUACACACUCAAGUAAGAAGAAAAAAUAAUCACAGAACUAUUGCUAAAAGUGACCCUCAGAGUAGAAAUAAAGUGUUUUUAAAGUCUGGAGGAAAACAGUGAUUAGGUAAUAACAGUAAGGAUAGAGUCAGACCUGUUUUUCCUUACUGGCAACACGCAGUGUGAUUUUUUUGUUGCUUUUUUAAAUGAAGUCACUUGAGGCUGCGUCAACGUUUCCAGCAUUAGUGGUGCCUUAUGUAAUGUCCCAGCAGGUUGGUGUUUGCACCCCCAUAUUUUGAUACAAAUGGUGACAGUAUUUUCAAAAGAGUUCCUUUUACAUUAAAUAGCUAUUUUAAAAUUUGUAAUAAAAGCUCUCUAAACAACAGUACCAAAAACUAGGUAAACCAAGCUUCAGUCAGCGUCAGAGGACCUCUUCACAGAGGGAAGGUAAAUCCUCCUCUGGAACAGUUACAAUAAUGUACAGAAAUGAGACCAAAGAUACACACAAGAAGUUACAGGUCAACUCAUUUACUGGGAGCUGUGCAAUGAUUUCCACGCUGAGGAUCCAAUCUGCUUAACAGUCAGCCCUGUCUUCAGCUGUUAGCUGCCCGGGUGGAUGCACUCAGAAACAGAAGCCUGAUGUUCAGAUGUCUUUCUGCUGACAUCCCAUCUAGAAUCGUGGCAGCCAUGUCUCACCAGGGUCAGAACAAAGAGAGACAGCUGGGGCAAUUCCACAGCCUAGCUUAUGAAGUUCAGCAUCACGCAUCAGCUUAGUGCUCACGACGAGGUGUGAUGCACUGCUCUGUUCUCUGCAUACUGCUGUGCUUUCCUGAUUACAAGCAAGACUGACUUUCACUACACACGCACACAACACUUGAAAAGUGUGAAGUGCUAACAACUCCAGAGCACAGCAAAACUUGACUGCAAUUCCAAGGUUAGAACACCUGAGCUUCUGGAAGCACAGAUCAGACCCUUCAUCUCUCCAGUACCCCACACUACAUACAGGUUUCCUUGCUCAUAAGAGCCAGUGUGCACAUUAAAUAACAUUUAAGUAAUGCUCUGACAUCUGCAAUGAGCCAGGUUUUCCAUUGGAGUCCGAGAGUUAGGAGUCCUGUGAAAGAGUUCAGCUUAACACGUAGCUAGCUUUUUAGUACACAUCAUGUCACAGAGUUACUGUUUUCCUUACAAAUAUAUGGCACUAGGUGAAAAACGUUAUGACUUAUUCCAAACAGUGCACCAUACUUCACAGCAAAGCUUGAAAAGAAUUCUUCGACUCCCACUUCUUCUAAAUAUACAGCUGGUGGGAGGCCAGGGUGUCCAUGAACGGUCGCACAAGGUUGUCUGUCGAGAAGUAAAAGAUCAAGCCGAAGGUGAUGGAGAUGGGAAGAGCAGGCAGUGCUUUCUUAAAAACAGCCAGUAGUAAGAGAGUUAAACAUAAACCCUGCCAGAGGGAAUAAAAACACAAGGAAAUAAAGUAAGAAGCCCAGAAACAUACCUCCGGUAACAAUCUAAUAUAUAAGAGCUAGAUACACUGUACAUAAAUUGAAGCCUGUCUGAACUACCAAUGAAAUCAGAUACAUUUCCCCACAUCUUCAUCUUUCUAAACAGCUGGCCAAGUAUUUUCUUCAGCAGUCUUGGAGCACAGCUCCAGAAAUUAACGUGAACAGCUUGUGCUGCCAUAUUGAGAGGUUAAUUUAUUUUCAGAUCAUUUUACAUUUUGUUCUACACCAUUCUGUACCAAUUACCGAACCAGCAGAUAAACCAUAUAGCCCUGUUGAAAUGCACGGAGUUUCACUGGACGGCUCACACACACAGCAGUACAUGCUUCUACCACCUCCACACAUUUCAAGGUCUCUUGGGGGGGAAAAGAAAAAAAAAAAUCACCAAAAACUAUCCCACUGCUGUUCUCUUGACGGGAUUGCUUAUUGUAAUAAGUGGAUUCUGUUUUUAUUUCGUAGCAGGCCAAAAUCCAUCUCUUAGAAAAGAUAUGGAAGCUUUUAAAGGUUUGGGAUACACAGUACAGUUGGAUUAAGUAUAUUUUGGUAUGGAUUACUUCUCUUAUCUGAGCCCUUUUGUCUUCCUUUAUGAUGACGAAACUUCAGAGACAAUGUCCAUGCUGGGCUCCACCAACCAUCCAUUUGCUCGGGAUCAACAGGUGGAACUUUAUUUAUUUAUUUUUAAACCAGUGUUUCUGGGCUGCAUGGCUGGCUAUAAUCCAGCUGACUCUAUGGCUCUGUUCUUCACACUCUUCAUGGGCCGUAUCUGGCCUACACCUACUCCACAGUGUAAUUAAAUGAUGUGCCCACUGCCUGGACACUGCAGGGACACAGUUUUGGAACCAGAAAGCCACAGCACCAGAAUUAUGAAACAAAGAAGAAACCAGAACAAAUUUAACAGCACCUUAAAAGACAGAGAGUAGUGUAUAAGGCCUAAGAGACAGAGGAGAGCUUUCCCCACAGUAAAGGGGCCCUGUGCUGGACCCAGGGACACUGAGGGAGGCAACUGUAUAGGUGUCUCUGACCUAUGAGGUAGGACACAUCAGGAAAGGUAGUCAACACCCCAUUUGAUUGAUUAGAUUUCUAGUUCUAGUGCUCUCUGAUCCAUGUUCUUCAUAACGGAGAAUCACUAUAAUUCUCUUCCCUUGGGGUCUAGUCAGGGAAAUGGAAGCUCAAGACAGACACAAUAAUUCAUUUUCUUUUGUCUCCUGCCACUGCUCUUCUUCUUAGUUUCAACAAGGAUGCUGGUAUAAAGAACUAGUUGCUAUUAAUAAUUUUCUACCUAGGUGAAAGCUCAACAGCAUAUAGUCAUUAGAUCUGGCAGGCCUGAGUCCUUAAGCAGGUACAACGUGAUAGUCAUCUACUUUUACUCAUAAUUUCCAUGGAUUUUUAAAUCUCCUUAUAUUCUAGUUUUUCCAGCUCAAACACAAGAAUGAAAUAUGCCUUCAUCCUCUUGUGUCACAGUUCUUCUUAGCAAGAGGGAGUUAGUUAGCCUCCUUGACUACACCUACUAAUCAACAUGGAGUUCAUAAUAUUAACUCUUCCUUCUGACAAAGUCCCCAGUCUCUGGGGGAACUGAACACUGCAGCAAACAUGUAAGCAGUUCAGCUGUUACUGUUUUCCUAGGGUCUGUUUGACCAAAAUCACCUCCACAUUUGGCUCUGCUCUGAAGAGUCCUCCCUCCCAGCCUAUAUCACGUAGCUUCUCCUAGAAGUCACUUAAAGCCUGUCACUAAAGACAGAGCACUGGGCUAGGAAAUCCAUGUGUGUGUUCACCUGAGUACCCAGAACAUUACCUGGAGUGAUUUAGCAGUCGUAGCUGUUUGUGCUUCUGGCAAUAUACUGCUGUGCUAAAUAAGCCUAUAGUAGUUUCAAAAACUUGCUCACUUACUAUGAGAAUGGCUACAAAGCAGGCCAGUGUAGUAUUCCAGUCUCCACUAGGUGUGGCAGCUGCUUUCCCAACCAGCACACUGUAAAAUAUGAAGUCUCCAAGGCCCAGUUUCACACCUCCUGCAAGAAGUGGAAGGGAAAGAAAACAAGUCUUACUUCUCCUGUUUUGCUUCCUUCUGAACCAAGUCUUGUCUCCUGGGGACCAGGUGAAGGUUGCUAGCCCUGACUACCAACCAAG